UGAGGAACAUGACCUUCGGCGGGGGAUAGCCGGCCCAACGGCCGGGUAAUACCGCGUACGACCACAUGGGGACAUCCCUGAGUGGUGAAAGCAGCAAUGCGCCGAUGGAGUACCUCGCGGCCUAUCAGCUAGUUGGUGUGGGUAAUGGCCCACCAAGGCGACGACGGGUAGCCGGCCUGAGAGGGUGACCGGCCACACUGGGACUGAGACACGGCCCAGACUCCGUACGGGAGGCAGCAGGG
RNAcentral lists this ribosomal RNA (242 nucleotides) under uncultured bacterium. RNAcentral's name for it is "partial 16S ribosomal RNA". It matches the Rfam family "Bacterial small subunit ribosomal RNA", at positions 118 to 354 of the family's 1533-position model. The record is from RNAcentral.